Molecule: ribosomal RNA, 484 nt
Filed under: uncultured bacterium
Lineage: Bacteria
Description: partial 16S ribosomal RNA
Rfam family: Bacterial small subunit ribosomal RNA
Source: RNAcentral
AUUGAACGCUGGCGGCAGGCCUAACACAUGCAAGUCGAGCGGAUGAAGGGAGCUUGCUCCUGGAUUCAGCGGCGGACGGGUGUGUAAUGCCUAGGAAUCUGCCUGGUAUUGGUGGAUAACGUCCGGAAACGGGCGCUACUACCGCAUACGUCCUGAGGGAGCAAGUGGGGGAUCUUCGGACCUCUCGCUCUCAGAUGAGCCUAGGUCGGGUUAGCUAGUUGGUGGGUUAAAGGCCUACCAAGGCGGCGAUCCGUAACUGGUCUGAGAGGAUGAUCAGUCACACUAGAACUGGGACACGGACCAGACGCCUACGGGAGGCAGCAGUGGGGAAUAGUGGACAGUAGUGGAAAACCUGAUACAGCGAGGGGACGUGUGUGGAGAAGACGUUCGGAUUGGGAAGAACGUUAAGGGGGGAGAAAGCGCAGUAGGUUGAGACGAUGCGGGUGUGACGGUAACGAGAGAAGAAGCACCGGCUAACUACGUG